Molecule: microRNA precursor, 140 nt
Organism: Vitis vinifera (wine grape)
Lineage: Eukaryota; Viridiplantae; Streptophyta; Magnoliopsida; Vitales; Vitaceae
Rfam family: mir-172 microRNA precursor family
About the family: mir-172 has been experimentally verified in Arabidopsis thaliana.
Source: Rfam
CUGUUUGCGGAUGGAGCAUCAUCAAGAUUCACAAGUAUUGAGACUCAGUGCGUGGUGGUGAUGGUGACUUUUGUGGUCCCUUCCUACACUCCGAUGGCUCUUUGAUGUGGGAAUCUUGAUGAUGCUGCAGCGGCAAUAAA